This 266-nucleotide unclassified non-coding RNA is filed under the name uncultured fungus. Its description in RNAcentral is "partial contains 18S rRNA, ITS1, 5.8S rRNA, ITS2 and 28S rRNA". Lineage: Eukaryota; Fungi. The record is from RNAcentral.
AAGGAUCAUUAGCAAGAUUGCCUCCUCACUCAUCAUUGCCUCCCAUUUUGUGGAUGGUGGUGGUGGGAAGGGGAAGAAAGGCAAGUGCCAUCCUUGUGUUAUGUUUUUCAUGUGUAUGUGUGUGUGUUGCGCGAUUCAUUCGCGCAUCCGCAUCACUUUACUAUUUAACACUCUUUACCAUUCAUAUUCUGAACAAACCUUGUCAUUGCUCGCAAGAGCAUGCACAAACCAACCGAAAACUGCCAGCAAUGGAUCACUCGGUUCUC